Long non-coding RNA from Ictalurus punctatus (channel catfish), 2998 nucleotides. NCBI's taxonomy places the organism in Eukaryota, Metazoa, Chordata, Actinopteri, Siluriformes, Ictaluridae. The record is from Ensembl.
CGCAAAAGCGCACGACAAACGGAGUUAUUGAAUCCUGAAAGAAGGAGCCGAUUCUGAACAGCUGAAACGAAUUCGUUAGUAAUUCCAGACUUACUUCCUGUACUAACCUACGUAGGUUUGUAACAAACAAACAAAAAAAAUCCUGCCUGUCACUGACAACAGACUGGGACAUCUGACCAAUCCGAGCAGAGUAUGCUCUCUGGAACGAGUCGUUCAGAACCAGUCGUUCAGAACCAGUCGUUCAGAACCAGUCGUUCAGAACCAGUCGUUCAGAACCAGUCGUUCAGAUCGUUUGUGACACUGGGGGGGGUUAAAUUAUGAGCACGAUAAAGUGCUUUUUGACCUCGGAUGCACGUAAAUCUAUUAUGAGAGCUUUAAAAGAAGAUUAGGCACAUUUCAGAACCAUAGUAAGUGCACUUUAAUGAAUCCGUACGUUUUAGACGACGAUGUUGACGGCCGCACGAUUACGUUAAACUGUAUCGUGUGUGUGUGUUUUUUUUGUUUUGUUUUGUUUUGUUUUUUUUUUACAUUUAUUUUUAUAAGAUUAAUCCUGCACUUUGAAGACGUUAAGAAGAGUCAAUGAUGCGAAUUAUUACCCAGAAACAUCACCAGAUAACUUCUUAACUACAUUUUACCACCGCCGCCAUUUCAGACGUUUCUAAUCUUCCAGAACGCGUCUUUUAAAAGGACUAGCGACGCAUCCAUCCAGGGGUUUUAGUUUACGUUACUACAUUUACCUUGCGUACGUUCUAUGAUCAUGUGACGUACCGAUAAUCAAGCCAUACUCUCUCUCUCUCUGGAGCUUUGUAUGUUCUUCCUGUUUGUGGGGUUUCCUGAAGGUUCGACAGCUUCCUCUCGAAAGCACGCCAGAAGGUGGAUCGAUCACGCUAAUUGAUCGUAUUUACAAAUUGAGCAGAGUGGAAGUACCUCAUUAUCUGAAUAAACAAACAAAUCCCAGCUUUCUCGUACAGUUCUCAAACAUCGAAAGGCGGUGGAAUGAUCCGGAACGACCGGGGGGGGGUGAAGCGCAUCAUCAUGUAGAAGCAAAUAGAAACAGCGGUGACGCCGUUUUGUACCGGAACCCGGAAGUUAUCAUCACACCGGUUCCCUCGACAGAAACCCAAUAGGAUUUUCAAAUCAUCUUCACAACUUGUAUGAAGUUUGAAGCCUAAAUCCAAUCUCCAGAACAUCUAAACCGUACGCUAUAAACGAGCUACACCACGGUCGCUCGACUUCAACGUCUCCAUCACCGAGCUUCCGAGAACUUUCCCAAACUUUAUUUAAAACAUUUUCCAUAAUACGGAUUUACUCUGUGGAUGAAUCUUCCCCCGUGUGUUUUGGGGAAUUGUGCACAGCAGACCUGAACCAGUUUAUCUGCGAAGUGUUUUCCUGCUCGGCGUGAUGACGUUUAAUGUCCCCGAUAGCCUCUGCGGUCCCGUUUAGCAACAUGUCAGUGUCACGAUUUCCCCUCGCGCACGCGCUGGAGCACAAGCAAAGCAAACCUCGUUUCCGGGUUUUAGCGUUACAGAAUGACGUCAUCCCUGCGCCGCUCUAUGGUGACUGGCUGUACGUUUAAGUAGCGCUUGAUUUGAUGUGCAGCGGAGUUUUCUAUGAGCAGAGGAUGAACUUUAAACGUCAAUAUCGCAGUGGAUCAUUUCCACGUAAUCCUGGGCAGUCAAAACCCCUAGUGAGGAUGCAUGUUAAGGAAACGAAUAGGUGCGCGGUGGUGUAGCACGUCACAGCUCCGGUGUCGCCGGUUCAGUCCUGAGCUCGGAAUAGUGUGUGUGUGUGUGUUUCCCCCACUUACGUCCAUGUGGGUUUGCUCUGGGUUCCUCUGUUCUCCCAAAAACACGCCAGGAAAGUGGAUUCGUGGGGUAGGCUCUGGAGCCGCCACACCCCAGGUCUUGACUGAGUGAGUGACUGAGUGAGUCGAGUGAGUCGAUCGAGUGAGUGAGUGAGUGAGUGAGUCGAGUGAGUGAGUGAGUCGAUGACUGAGUGAGUGAGUGACUGAGUGAGUCUGUGACUGAGUGAGUCUGUGACUGAGUGAGUGACUGAGUGAGUGAGUGACUGAGUGAGUGAGUGACUGACUGAGUGAGUGACUGAGUGAGUGACUGAGUGAGUCGAGUGAGUGACUGAGUGAGUGACUGAGUGAGUGACUGAGUGAGUGACUGAGUGAGUGACUGAGUGAGUCACUGAGUCAGUGAGUGAACGCGGACUUCAGGUGUUUUGUAAGUACGUUAAUCUCUUGGCUUAGAAACAAAUGUCGGACACCAGGCUCGUCUUAUUUACUCCAUUUGUUCCUCCACAUAUACUGAGGGCGAUGUCUUUUGCAGACCCCUGUGCGAAUAGUGAUCGGACUGCCACUAUUCCUGUAUUUGUACUGUUCAUUUUCUACACGAUCAGUCGAGAAGCAGGGCGGUGUCUUUUUAUUUUAUGUUUUUUUUUUUUUUUUUUUUUUAGUCCUUUCAGAGUAGAAUUAAUCGUUUGUAAACCCGUUCGCCUUCCCCCUGAGCAAGUCAAGUCCGAACCUGAGCGCUGUCGGUGAGCGAGCGAAGACGAGUCAGGACGCGUGGAUGCGUUCGACUCGUCAGACUCGACGGUCCUCGACCGUGCCCGAGGGGAAGCCGGUGAAUUCGGUAACUCGGGCUAAAACAUGCACGUCUCUCUGGCAGCGACGGAGAGCCUUUCGCAAACCCGUACAUCUCGCGUCCUGUCCCACUCGCAGCGUGAGGUGUGUCGAGAGCGAGGCUCGCGGUGAGUCGUCUCGGAGCCCUGCGGUUCAUAACGGCUCUGCUUCCACGUGGAGAUUAAUACUGUAUCCGUGUGCCGUAAAACCGUGCGCAAACAUCACGCUCGUAAAAACCCAGACCGCACAAUGAAGCCCUGGCUGUUCUAGAUGGAUCUGUCAUAAAGUUUUAAACACACACACACACACACAUGCACAAGAGGCCAAGGGAAGGGAGUGUUUCUUUCUUUCUUUCUUUCUUUUAAUUGUGAA